Long non-coding RNA from Oncorhynchus kisutch (coho salmon), 1359 nucleotides. RefSeq lists it as uncharacterized. NCBI's taxonomy places the organism in Eukaryota, Metazoa, Chordata, Actinopteri, Salmoniformes, Salmonidae. The transcript has 4 exons. The record is from RefSeq and is a predicted model, not a curated record.
GUAGAACACGCCUGACUCUCCUCCACCAGUCAUACAAGGAUAAUGGUCUAAUGCCUCUCAUCAAAAAGAGAGCUGGCAAAAGCAAACACAGGUUUAACCUGAAGUAUGAGGACUUGCAGUGAGUAGUGAACUAAGUCAACAACUACUCAGAGGAUAAUGUAUUACCAGAACGCCACCCAGGCCACAAACACUUUGGUGGAUUGCAGCUGCCAUCCCAAGUGACAAAACAGCAGUGUGGUGUCUCUACAAGGAAUCGAUGACAACAAUUGCUAUAAGCUGUUAAGUCAGCCAAGCUGAAGAAGCAAGAGCAGCAUCUCCUGCUUGUUCAGAGUGAGCAGUCUUUCUACGAGAAGAUGGUUGCUGACUGUAAGACCACCUGUCAAGACCUGCAGUUGUCUCUGGGGACCCCUACUAAACCAGCAAGCAAAGACAUUAGGCUUUGAUUUUGUUCAACAACCUGUCUUCCCUUGGCGUCCAUGAAUACAUGCCACUGGAUCUGAAACGGGUGGAGCCUUUGCUUACUUCACCACAGGCCCUGUGGUAAAGAAGACAACGGCUUCACCUCUCAGUGAUCACCUAGGUGACUCAGUGAUCUCUGUCGCAAGGGGCCAAAGAGAAACCUACAUCUACCUCAAGACGAGACAAAACAUUCCUAUGAGGGCUGGUAACUAUUUCCUUUUCAAGUGUACAAGAGGACAUUCUGAAACUGGCAAUGGUUUCAGAAGAGUGGGAUGGAACGCCUAUAUCUCCUUCACUCUGCAGUCCAGGACAGACUUCAUGGUUGUUAUAGAAAGGUUGUAUGACAUCCACAACAGUCAUGAUCCCCAAGACCAACACUGCAGCCAGAUCCACCCAACCUUGAGGAAGGAAAGAGAGCUGGCUGCGUACCUACCUGCAGAGCUGGUUGCGUAUUGGGGGUAACACCGUCAAUGAUUCUGGUACUUGCACAGAAUUGGGCCAAGGCACGUGGGAAGUGACUGGAACACGGGAGAAUACUUUGACACCAGGGGACAUACAAAACAUCAGGAACACCAUGAUGCAAAGACAACAAAUGGCCAGAAAAGAUGCCAUCCAUGUCUCAGAAAAAUCACAGUGGAAACUAUUUCAUGAACAAUAGAUCAACAACAAAAACCUUGCCCUUGUGCUGAUGACAAAAGAAAUUAGGAAAAAUGUCAUGGCCUAUGGUAAGGUUAUGGUCUUAAUGGAUGCCACAAAUGGCCUCACCAACUACGGCUUCCCUCUCUAUUCCAUCCCGCUUAGAGAAGCUCAUGGCCAUGGGGUGCCAGCUGCCUAGAUCAUCGCUCUGUGCAAGAGCAUACUUUUGCUGUUUUCACAGAGCGAUCCACAGGCCAACUUGCA